ACGCUCGACACCUACGGGAGGUAGCAGUGGGGAAUAUUGCACAAUGGGGGAAACCCUGAUGCAGCGACGCCGCGUGAGCGAAGAAGUAUUUCGGUAUGUAAAGCUCUAUCAGCAGGGAAGAAACUGACGGUACCUGACUAAGAAGCACCGGCUAAAUACGUGCCAGCAGCCGCGGUAAUCUGAGGCGGGCUGGCAAGGC
RNAcentral lists this ribosomal RNA (199 nucleotides) under uncultured bacterium. RNAcentral describes it as "partial 16S ribosomal RNA". It matches the Rfam family "Bacterial small subunit ribosomal RNA", at positions 328 to 539 of the family's 1533-position model. The record is from RNAcentral.